UCUUCGGCCUACCCCUACCCCACCUAAAACCAUCCAAAGCUAGCCUCUCACACCUACGAACCGGGGCAUCCAUGCCCCUCCUCAUCACGUGUCCGAACCAUCUCAAUCGGACUUUUCGCAUCUUAUUCUCCACUGGAGUCACACCAACCUUCUCCCUGAUAGUCUCAUUCUGAACUCUAUCCACCCUAGUCAGCCCACACAUCUAACGCAACAUCCGCAUUUCUGCCACCUUCAUUUUUUGAAUGUGGG
RNAcentral lists this long non-coding RNA (249 nucleotides) under Capsicum annuum. Its description in RNAcentral is "long non-coding RNA (CANN_LNC000755)". The record is from RNAcentral. Lineage: Eukaryota; Viridiplantae; Streptophyta; Magnoliopsida; Solanales; Solanaceae.